RNAcentral lists this ribosomal RNA (465 nucleotides) under Vreelandella stevensii. RNAcentral describes it as "partial 16S ribosomal RNA". It matches the Rfam family "Bacterial small subunit ribosomal RNA", at positions 338 to 795 of the family's 1533-position model. The record is from RNAcentral. Lineage: Bacteria; Pseudomonadati; Pseudomonadota; Gammaproteobacteria; Oceanospirillales; Halomonadaceae.
CCUACGGGGGGCAGCAGUGGGGAAUAUUGGACAAUGGGGGCAACCCUGAUCCAGCCAUGCCGCGUGUGUGAAGAAGGCCCUCGGGUUGUAAAGCACUUUCAGUGAGGAAGAACGCCUGGUGGUUAAUACCCAUCAGGAAAGACAUCACUCACAGAAGAAGCACCGGCUAACUCCGUGCCAGCAGCCGCGGUAAUACGGAGGGUGCGAGCGUUAAUCGGAAUUACUAGGCGUAAAGCGCGCGUAGGUGGCUUGAUAAGCCGGUUGUGAAAGCCCCGGGCUCAACCUGGGAACGGCAUCCGGAACUGUCAAGCUAGAGUGCAGGAGAGGAAGGUAGAAUUCCCGGUGUAGCGGUGAAAUGCGUAGAGAUCGGGAGGAAUACCAGUGGCGAAGGCGGCCUUCUGGACUGACACUGACACUGAGGUGCGAAAGCGUGGGUAGCAAACAGGAUUAGAUACCCGAGUAGUC